Molecule: ribosomal RNA, 301 nt
Filed under: uncultured bacterium
Lineage: Bacteria
Description: partial 16S ribosomal RNA
Rfam family: Bacterial small subunit ribosomal RNA
Source: RNAcentral
CAGUAGCCGCGGUAAUACGAAGGGUGCAAGCGUUAAUCGGAAUUACUGGGCGUAAAGCGUGCGCAGGCGGUUAUAUAAGACAGAUGUGAAAUCCCCGGGCUCAACAUGGGAACUGCAUUUGUGACUGUAUAGCUAGAGUACGGCAGAGGGGGAUGGAAUUCCGCGUGUAGCAGUGAAAUGCGUAGAUAUGCGGAGGAACACCGAUGGCGAAGGCAAUCCCCUGGGCCUGUACUGACGCUCAUGCACGAAAGCGUGGGGAGCAAACAGGAUUAGAGACCCGCGUAGUCCCUGUCUCUUAUAC